This 497-nucleotide ribosomal RNA is filed under the name uncultured bacterium. Its description in RNAcentral is "partial 16S ribosomal RNA". It matches the Rfam family "Bacterial small subunit ribosomal RNA", at positions 28 to 507 of the family's 1533-position model. The record is from RNAcentral.
GAUGAACGCUGGCGGCGUGCCUAAUACAUGCAAGUCGAGCGAACAGACGAGGAGCUUGCUCCUCUGACGUUAGCGGCGGACGGGUGAGUAACACGUGGAUAACCUACCUAUAAGACUGGGAUAACUUCGGGAAACCGGAGCUAAUACCGGAUAAUAUAUUGAACCGCAUGGUUCAAUAGUGAAAGACGGUUUUGCUGUCACUUAUAGAUGGAUCCGCGCCGCAUUAGCUAGUUGGUAAGGUAACGGCUUACCAAGGCAACGAUGCGUAGCCGACGUGAGAGGGUGAUCGGCCACACUGGAACUGAGACACGGUCCAGACUCCUACGAGAGGCAGCAGUAGGGAAUGUUCCGCAAUGGGCGAAAGCCUGACGGAGCAACGCCGCGUGAGUGAUGAAGGUCUUCGGAUCGUAAAACUCUGUUAUUAGGGAAGAACAAAUGUGUAAGUAACUAUGCACGUCUUGACGGUACCUAAUCAGAAAGCCACGGCUAACUACGUG